GUGCACGCUGGCGGUAGGCCUAACCCCUGCAAGUCGCACGGCAGCACAGUAAGAGCUUGCUCUUACGGGUGGCGAGUGGCGGACGGGUGAGGAAUACAUCGGAAUCUACUUUUUCGUGGGGGAUAACGUAGGGAAACUUACGCUAAUACCGCAUACGACCUACGGGUGAAAGCAGGGGAUCUUCGGACCUUGCGCGAUUGAAUGAGCCGAUGUCGGAUUAGUUAGUUGGCGGGGUAAAGGCCCACCAAGGCGACGAUCCGUAGCUGGUCUGAGAGGAUGAUCAGCCACACUGGAACUGAGACACGGUCCAGACUCCUACGGGAGGCAGCAGUGGGGAAUAUUGGACAAUGGGCGCAAGCCUGAUCCAGCCAUACCGCGUGGGUGAAGAAGGCCUUCGGGUUGUAAAGCCCUUUUGUUGGGAAAGAAAAGCAGCAGGUUAAUACCCCGCUGUUCUGACGGUACCCAAAGAAUAAGCACCGGCUAACUUCGUG
RNAcentral lists this ribosomal RNA (491 nucleotides) under uncultured bacterium. Its description in RNAcentral is "partial 16S ribosomal RNA". It matches the Rfam family "Bacterial small subunit ribosomal RNA", at positions 29 to 507 of the family's 1533-position model. The record is from RNAcentral.